GAUGAACGCUGGCGGCGUGCUUAACACAUGCAAGUCGAACGGAGCACCCUUGAAGGAGUUUUCGGACAACAGAUAGGACUGCUUAGUGGCGGACGGGUGAGUAACGCGUGAGGAACCUGCCUUGGAGAGGGGAAUAACACAUGGAAACGUGUGCUAAUACCGCAUGACAUACAUUUAUCGCAUGGUAGAUGUAUAAACGAUUUAUCGCUCUGAGAUGGCCUCGCGUCUGAUUAGCUAGUUGGUGGGGUAACGGCCCACCAAGGCAACGAUCAGUAGCCGACCUGAGAGGGUGACCGGCCACAUUGGGACUGAGACACGGCCCAGACUCCUACGGGAGGCAGCAGUGAGGAAUAUUGGUCAAUGGGCGAGAGCCUGAACCAGCCAAGUAGCGUGAAGGAUGACUGCCCUAUGGGUUGUAAACUUCUUUUGUAUGGGAAUAAAUGACAUUACGUGUAGUGUUUUGUAUGUACCCUAUGAAUAAGCAUCGGCUAACUCCGUGCCAGCCGCCGCAGUAAAAC
Molecule: ribosomal RNA, 518 nt
Filed under: uncultured bacterium
Lineage: Bacteria
Description: bacterial SSU rRNA
Rfam family: Bacterial small subunit ribosomal RNA
Source: RNAcentral